This 528-nucleotide ribosomal RNA is filed under the name uncultured bacterium. Its description in RNAcentral is "bacterial SSU rRNA". It matches the Rfam family "Bacterial small subunit ribosomal RNA", at positions 1 to 518 of the family's 1533-position model. The record is from RNAcentral.
CUACGAGAGUAGUUAGUAGUAUGGCUCAGGAUGAACGCUAGCUACAGGCUUAACACAUAGCAAGUCGAGGGCAUCAUUCGAAGCUUGCUUUGAAGAUGGCGACCGGCGCACGGGUGAGUAACGCGUAUCCAACCUUCCCCUUAGUAGGGCAUAGCCCGGCGAAAGUCGGAUUAAUACCCUAUGUUCUUUACGGAUGGCAUCUGAAGUAAAGCAAAGAUUUAUCGCUAAGGGAUGGGGAUGCGUCUGAUUAGGUUGUUGGCGGGGUAACGGCCCACCAAGCCUACGAUCAGUAGGGGUUCUGAGAGGAAGGUCCCCCACAUUGGUACUGAGACACGGACCAAACUCCUACGGGAGGCAGCAGCGAGGAAUAUUGGUCAAUGGGCGAGAGCCUGAACCAGCCAAGUAGCGUGCCAGGAUGACGGCCCUAUGGGUUGUAAACUGCUUUUGUCAGGGGAUAAAAAAGAGAACGUGUUCUCUAUUGCAUGUACCUGAAGAAUAAGGACCGGCUAAUUCCGUGCCAGCAGCGGC